ACCAGACUCCUACGGGAGGCAGCAGUGAGGAAUAUUGGUCAAUGGGCGGGAGCCUGAACCAGCCAAGUCGCGUGAGGGAAGACGGUCCUAUGGAUUGUAAACCUCUUUAGGCGGGGAGCAAUGCCGGGCACGCGUGCCCGGAGGGAGAGUACCCGCAGAAUAAGCUCCGGCUAACUACGUGCCAGCAGCCGCGGUAAUACGUAGGGAGCAAGCGUUAUCCGGAUUUAUUGGGUGUAAAGGGUGCGUAGACGGGAAAACAAGUUAGUUGUGAAAUCCCUCGGCUUAACUGAGGAACUGCAACUAAAACUAUUUUUCUUGAGUGUUGGAGAGGAAAGUGGAAUUCCUAGUGUAGCGGUGAAAUGCGUAGAUAUUAGGAGGAACACCAGUGGCGAAGGCGACUUUCUGGACAAUAACUGACGUUGAGGCACGAAAGUGUGGGGAGCAAACAGGAUUAGAUACCCCCGUA
This 466-nucleotide ribosomal RNA is filed under the name uncultured bacterium. Its description in RNAcentral is "bacterial SSU rRNA". It matches the Rfam family "Bacterial small subunit ribosomal RNA", at positions 330 to 792 of the family's 1533-position model. The record is from RNAcentral.